Molecule: long non-coding RNA, 512 nt
Filed under: Equus caballus (horse)
Lineage: Eukaryota; Metazoa; Chordata; Mammalia; Perissodactyla; Equidae
Description: lncRNA (ENSECAG00000048045.1)
Source: RNAcentral
CCGGGAGGAGAGCAAAGUCGGGGCGGGCGGCGCCGUCCCCGGAGGCCGCCCUUCUCCGCGCCCUCGGGACCCGCCGCCAGCGGCGGCCUUCGGGACCGGCAGGAGGCGCUUAUAAUUACAUCAUCUCCUUAACCAGGAGAAUGGCUGUCUGCUCCUCAGAUCUGUAUCAUUAAUGAAGAUCUUUGUGUGUUGUGUUUCCUUGGUACAGAAAGCUUCAGGGCAGGAGUGACAGAAGAGAAAUGCCUACUUGGUUCCAGGCAAUACUAAGUUAUAUGGCAGCAUUUAAAAUAGAAGCAGAAUGCACCAGAUACUCAAGAAACAAAAUAAAUGAAGUGAGCAUCUGUUACAACACAUUUAGAGCAAAGAAAGACUUCUGCUGGACGUCCUGGCAGCAAGCUGUGCAAGUUGAAGCGGAAUCUGAUUGAGGAUGCUUCCAUAGCAUGGCCAAUGAGUGGAGUGAAUCCGUGCCAGGGAUCUGAACCUGUGAACCCGGCCUCCAAACUAGAACGCGG